AUUUUUUUGUAAUUUAUGUAAUUGGUUGACAACUUUAAUGCUCAAAUUUAUAUAGUCAAGCAGUGUAUAGUCUUCAUUCAUUUUUUUUCUUCAUGUCCAGUUGAAGGGGACCCUGAAUCAGAAAACAUACCUCCUUGUCCAACACCAUCACAAAAUAAAACUGCUAGAGACCAUAUAAGGACCAUUUUAGCUGACACUCCAUCCCACCUAAACAUCACUGCUUCAGCGGAUCAUGGAAGUCCAGUCUCUGCUCCAACAAUCAGCCAGACAAGUGUGACAGGAAACCUAACUAUAAAUCAGACCUGGUCCCUGGAAAAUGUAAAAGCUCAAAUCGUCGUCGACACCUGUCCUUCAGAAAUCAUCUGGAACAACCUACAUUAACUCUUGCAGAGGUGAAAAAGAACACAAAUCAUUUAAGAGAGGUCAGUAAAUAGUUUACUAUAUUUUGAUUGAAAUACAGCACUUGUGUUUUACACUAGUAACAAAAUGUUUUGAAAAUGAAAAACAACCAUAUUAUGCAUUAUAAAAGGUUCACAUUUUGGUUUUGGGAGUUCCCAACAGUACAUGUAUGGAACACACAUCACAGCUUAUCAAGUGCAAGAAGAUAUGUGGAGUAUAUGUGAGUGUGAGCCCAAUGUAGAAAUGUAUCUGCUUGUUAAAUGUGACAUCACGCAUAGCGGCUUUGGGGUCCAAGAACUCUAUCAAACUGUAUGGGGAGACACAACAAAUGCUCGUGAUCAAC
This 742-nucleotide long non-coding RNA is filed under the name Danio rerio (zebrafish). RNAcentral describes it as "lncRNA (ENSDARG00000117497.1)". The record is from RNAcentral. Lineage: Eukaryota; Metazoa; Chordata; Actinopteri; Cypriniformes; Danionidae.